This 73-nucleotide microRNA precursor is filed under the name Myotis myotis. RNAcentral's name for it is "mir-9193 microRNA precursor family". It matches the Rfam family "mir-9193 microRNA precursor family". The record is from Rfam by way of RNAcentral. RNAcentral also lists the same sequence under 1 other name. Lineage: Eukaryota; Metazoa; Chordata; Mammalia; Chiroptera; Vespertilionidae.
CUGGGGGGAGAGGGGCCCUCAGCCUGGAUUGUGAGAGGGCACAGGCCAGGCCGAGGUACCCCACUGGUGCACA